RNAcentral lists this ribosomal RNA (253 nucleotides) under uncultured bacterium. RNAcentral's name for it is "partial 16S ribosomal RNA". It matches the Rfam family "Bacterial small subunit ribosomal RNA", at positions 524 to 776 of the family's 1533-position model. The record is from RNAcentral.
UACAGAGGUCUCAAGCGUUGUUCGGAUUCAUUGGGCGUAAAGGGUGCGUAGGCGGCGCGGUAAGUCGGGUGUGAAAUCUUGGAGCUUAACUCCGAAACUGCAUUCGAUACUGCCGUGCUUGAGGACUGGAGAGGAGACUGGAAUUUACGGUGUAGCGGUGAAAUGCGUAGAUAUCGUAAGGAAGACCAGUGGCGAAGGCGGGUCUCUGGACAGUUACUGACGCUGAGGCACGAAGGCCAGGGGAGCAAACGGG